Oxyura jamaicensis (ruddy duck) is the source of this 678-nucleotide long non-coding RNA. RefSeq lists it as uncharacterized. The transcript has 2 exons. The record is from RefSeq and is a predicted model, not a curated record. Lineage: Eukaryota; Metazoa; Chordata; Aves; Anseriformes; Anatidae.
AGCCAAGUAUUUUUCAGUGAAGACGAGAACAAUUCUGUCUCUGUAUUUGUCAAAAGAGAUGGUUUUGCAGGUCCAGGGUACUUCAUUGAGACUGUAUUCUAGAUGAACAGGAAACUGACUGAAGAAAUGGGUGUCCUUCCAGAUUCUUGGACACUUCAGAUGACUCCUACUGGACAUUCUCAGGUAGACCAGCAACAGGAGCUCUUGUGACCAGGCCAAUUGCAAAUGAAGUCAGUUGUUAACCAAUGCCAACAAAAACAAUGACGUGGAAGGACAUGGAGAUUGUGAAGUACUCAAGCUAGAAUGCAGUGUGACUGUUUAGUGUCCACACCUGGUGUAGAUUUCUGUAGGCUACCAUUUGCUUUUGGUCAGCUGUAGUUUAGGAGACAGAUGCUUUGCCUAAUGUUAAAGGUAAAAGGCCUUGUUGAAUUUUCAAAUAGCGCACCGACGACCUGCUAGUACUUUUGGUUAUGAAUGUUGUUUUAACAAUUAGUAUGAUGGGUUUGAGAGCUUUUAUUUCGGGAUUUUUUUAAUUUAUUUUUUUGCACGCUUUGAUGUAUUAGGAACCGGAAAAGGAUCUUUAUUUCUGGCAGUGAUGAUUUUAAACCUGAAGUUAGCAGGUUGACAUAAAGUAGCUAGCCACGAAUAAGCAACUACUGCAAUUGCUUCAAAAUGCAG